Molecule: unclassified non-coding RNA, 240 nt
Filed under: soil metagenome
Description: partial contains 5.8S ribosomal RNA, internal transcribed spacer 2, and large subunit ribosomal RNA
Source: RNAcentral
AACCUUAUGGACCUGCGGGCGUAUACCUGCGGAAGGAUCAUUAUUGAGUUUUGAAGUGGGCUUGAUGCUGGCGCCUUCACGGUGCAUGUGCUCAGCCCCGCUCUCAAAUCCACUCUACACCUGUGCACUUUCAAAGUCUGUGGUCCUCCGUAAUGGGAGUCGCAAGUCUUAACUGACUUGUUGGGACCGCGCUUUGCCCUUUAUCACAAACUAUAUGCAUUGUCUUGUAGAAUGUCUAGC